AGAGUUUGAUCCUGGCUCAGAUUGAACGCUGGCGGAAUGCUUUACACAUGCAAGUCGAACGGCAGCACGGGGGCAACCCUGGUGGCGAGUGGCGAACGGGUGAGUAAUACAUCGGAACGUGCCCAGUCGUGGGGGAUAACGUAGCGAAAGUUACGCUAAUACCGCAUACGAUCUACGGAUGAAAGCGGGGGAUCGCAAGACCUCGCGCGAUUGGAGCGGCCGAUGUCAGAUUAGGUAGUUGGUGGGGUAAAGGCCUACCAAGCCAACGAUCUGUAGCUGGUCUGAGAGGACGACCAGCCACACUGGGACUGAGACACGGGCCAGACUCCUACGGGAGGCAGCAGCGGGGAAUUUUGGACAAUGGGCGCAAGCCUG
RNAcentral lists this ribosomal RNA (375 nucleotides) under uncultured bacterium. RNAcentral describes it as "bacterial SSU rRNA". It matches the Rfam family "Bacterial small subunit ribosomal RNA", at positions 8 to 385 of the family's 1533-position model. The record is from RNAcentral.